AACAACAAAAAAACCAGCGCCCGAUCCCGUCCGAUCUCGGAAGCUAAGCAGGACCGGGCCUGGUUAGUACUUGGACGGGAGACCGCCUGGGAAUUCCAGGUGCUGUAGGCU
This 111-nucleotide ribosomal RNA is filed under the name Mastacembelus armatus (zig-zag eel). The record is from RNAcentral. Lineage: Eukaryota; Metazoa; Chordata; Actinopteri; Synbranchiformes; Mastacembelidae.